RNAcentral lists this ribosomal RNA (89 nucleotides) under Klebsiella pneumoniae subsp. pneumoniae ST512-K30BO. The record is from RNAcentral. Lineage: Bacteria; Pseudomonadati; Pseudomonadota; Gammaproteobacteria; Enterobacterales; Enterobacteriaceae.
UGACCCCAUGCCGAACUCAGAAGUGAAACGCCGUAGCGCCGAUGGUAGUGUGGGGUCUCCCCAUGUGAGAGUAGGGAACUGCCAGGCAU